GAUGAAGAACGCAGCGAAAUGCGAUAAGUAAUGCGAAUUGCAGAAUCCGUGAGUCAUCGAAUCUUUGAACGCACAUUGCGCCCUCUGGUAUUCCGGAGGGCAUGCCUGUUCGAGCGUCAUUAUCACCCCUCAAGCCCGGCUUGUUGUUGGAUGCAGCACUUAUCCCGCUCCUCCCAAAGAUAAUGACGGCGUCUGCGACGACUCCUGUACACUGAGCUUUCGGGCACGUACACGGCUAGAAGUCCAGACCCGGUCGCCGUCCCCCCUGCGGGGACACCCAUUACCACAAGGUUGACCUCGGAUCAGGUAGGAAUACCCGCUGAACUUAAGCAUAUCAAUAAGCGGAGGA
This 349-nucleotide unclassified non-coding RNA is filed under the name soil metagenome. RNAcentral's name for it is "partial contains 5.8S ribosomal RNA, internal transcribed spacer 2, and large subunit ribosomal RNA". The stretch from base 1 to 119 matches the Rfam family "5.8S ribosomal RNA", at positions 35 to 154 of the family's 154-position model. The record is from RNAcentral.